UGCAGUCGACGAGUUCCCGUUGAUUGACGUGCUUGCACUGAUUUCAACAUUGGAACGAGUGGCGAACUGGUGAGUAACACGUGGAAAACCUGCCCAGAAGCAGGGGAUAACACUUGGAAACAGGUGCUAAUACCGUAUAACAACAAAAACCGCAUGGUUUUUGUUUGAAAGGUGGCUUCGGCUAUCACUUCUGGAUGGUUCCGCGGCGCAUUAGCUUGUUGGUGGGGUAACGGCUCACCAAGGCGAUGAUGCGUAGCCGACCUGAGAGGGUAAUCGGCCACAUUGGGACUGAGACACGGCCCAGACUCCUACGGGAGGCAGCAGUAGGGAAUCUUCCACAAUGGACGCAAGUCUGAUGGAGCAAUGCCGCGUGAGUGAAGAAGGGUUUCGGCUCGUAAAACUCUGUUGUUGAAGAAGAACGGGUGUCAGAGUAACUGUUGACAUCGUGACGGUAUUCAACCAGAAAGCCACGGCUAACUACGUGCCAGCAGCCGCGGUAAUACGUAGGUGGCAAGCGUUGUCCGGAUUUAUUGGGCGUAAAGCGAGCGCAGGCGGUUUCUUAAGUCUGAUGUGAAAGCCUUCGGCUUAACCGAAGAAGUGCAUCGGAAACUGGGGGAACUUGAGUGCAGAAGAGGACAGUGGAACUCCAUGUGUAGCGGUGGGAAUGCGUAGAUAUAUGGAAGAACACCAGUGGCGAAAGCGGCUGUCUAGUCUGCAACUGACGCUGAGGCUCGAAAGCAUGGGUAGCGAACAGGAUUAGAUACCCUGGUAGUCCAUGCCGUAACGAUGAGUGCUAGUGUUGGAGGGUUUCCGCCCUUCAGUGCGCAGCUACGCAUAGCACUCGCCUGGGGGAGUACGACCGCAAGUUGAAACUCA
Molecule: ribosomal RNA, 876 nt
Filed under: Levilactobacillus namurensis
Lineage: Bacteria; Bacillati; Bacillota; Bacilli; Lactobacillales; Lactobacillaceae
Description: bacterial SSU rRNA
Rfam family: Bacterial small subunit ribosomal RNA
Source: RNAcentral